Molecule: long non-coding RNA, 274 nt
Organism: Exaiptasia diaphana
Lineage: Eukaryota; Metazoa; Cnidaria; Anthozoa; Actiniaria; Aiptasiidae
Exons: 3
Source: RefSeq, a predicted model, not a curated record
CUUAAUUUACUUUCUCUGCAGAGGAAUCCGAAAACGAAGUUGUCAAAGCUGAAAACGACGAAAAGUCCAUCGAAGGAGAUGAUCCUGAGGAAUCAGAAAACGAUGCGGCCAAAGMUGAAAACGAAGAAGAUGAAAAUUCCCUGAGUGAUGAAACCGAAAAUGAAAUGGCCAARCCUGAGAAAGAUGAGACUGACAAACCAAGGAGAGGUAAGCAUUUUAAUGAAUUCUUCAUUUCCCCCUGUCAUUAAAGAUCACACUUAAAGAUUUAAGGUCU